This 1415-nucleotide long non-coding RNA is filed under the name Zalophus californianus (California sea lion). Its description in RNAcentral is "lncRNA (ENSZCAG00015003804.1)". The record is from RNAcentral. Lineage: Eukaryota; Metazoa; Chordata; Mammalia; Carnivora; Otariidae.
AUGAUUGCUGGUGAACUCUCAAAAAACACCUUCCCUCAGGCCCCAGCCCUAGAUAUUCAGACUCGGUUACCAAGGGCUGGGCGACCCGGCUGUCCGGUUUCUAAUCGUUCCUGGGUGAUUCAGACGGACGCUGCUGCGCUCGGCUGCUCACUCCCCCACGGUGCGAGCGCGUCGAGGCGACCCGCAGGGCCUCUCGGGCCGAAGCCGUGCAAGGUGGACGUCUACCUGGACGGGGCUACCCGCCGUCCAGGCCUGCAGAGGUCAACGAGCUACCCACCGUCGGCACGCACGCGCAGCAAAACCGCCCCCGCCCCGGAGCUGCCGACCCCCUCCCCAAGGGCUUCCCUCCCCAAGAGGCCAUCCCGCUGUGAGCCCUCCACCCGGGGCGAGCCAGGAGCCCGGGAGCUGCGGAGGCAGCCCGCUGCCACUCGGCGGCGCUGGUCUGGCCGCACGCCGCGUUGUCCAAGGGCAGGGAAAAUCCUGCCCUCAAGAGAGCCCCGGCUUCCCCGCGGCCUCUUGACACCGAGGCCUCUUCACGCGCGGUCCCAACCCGGGGCUGACGGGUUCGCGACUGUCCUGCCAAUCAGAUACGUUUUCCUCAGAGUGGCCAGCCGACCAAUCACCGCGCGCGGGUGUCUUCUUCGGCUCUUCGGCUCGUCGGCCCUUCGGCCCUUCGGGCCUUCGGUUCUUCGGCGCUCGCUGUUGCUGGGCGCUCCGGGGCCUUCCGCCACGCUCGAAAGCUUAGUUCUCCCGGGUUUAAUUUCCCCUUUUUUUCUCAGACACUUCCGGGUCCUGCGUCGCUCCGGAAGCCCGCGAGUUCCGGAAAAAGCCUGGGUAAUCCAGGUUCUGGGAGAAACCAAGCUUCCCAGAGAAUGUCUCAGAGAAAGUUACGUGGAACGGGGGCGUUUUCGCAGACUCCUAAGACCUCUCCCUCCUUAAUGCCUGUCAGUAAGGAGUCAAGCCUCAAGGAAGAAAAGCAGCUGGACAGGUAAUAAUUCCUGGGGAUGGGCUGCAGCCAGGCUGCUCCAGGAAGCUAGAAAUAAGAAGUGAAAGGCUGGGAAUCCUAGAUUGAAGAGGACCAUGCAUGAAAAUGGAACAGUCUGAGCCAUCACAGAUCAAGAAGAAAAACAACAACAACAAAAACCCAAUCAUUUCAAAAUUGGUAUCUCGUUUUCUUUGUUCUUUCUAUGAAGUAUCUCAUUAAUAUUUAUGAUGUUUUAAUAGUAUUUGCCUCAUUUUGAAAAAGACAGUUCUUUGUUACCAAUCGAUGAGAAGGCUGGGGUAGGCUUUUAGCUACCUAGAAAGACAAUGGAACCACCCAAUUGUGAUUCAUCUGAACCAUAGCCCCAGAGUCUAAAUCUUUAAGCCUGUGAUUCAAUCAUUUUAAUGCAAGCAUCCCAUUACCUUGUCUGAAC